CAUCAUACUGGUGCAAGUCUUUGUCAGGCAGCUCUGCGAAGAAGUGAUUGGCUUUGACUAUGCAUCUCAUACCAUUGCUCCCCUUCCCUGGACGCAGGGGAAACCUUAGUAAUUUGCUUGAUGCAGGUGGAACUGCUUGCGUUGUAGCCGCUUCUUGUUGCAAAGCAAGUUGCUGGAACUGUUGUGUCACUUGUAGAGCUGCCUGCUCAGGUGGCUGAGAUGAGGGAUUUGCUUGAUGCAGGUGGAACUGCUUGCAUUGGAGCCGCUUCUUGCUGCAAAGCAAGUUGCUGGAACUGUUGUGUCACUUGUAGAGCUGCCUGCUCAGGUGGCUGAGAUGAGGAACCAGCUUCCGAGGAUGUUUCAGUUGGUCUUACAUAAGGUAUAGGCUGAGUAGUCAUUGCAGCUUGAUAUGGAGUCUGGGAGGUAGCUUGGUGCAGCUCGGGUGCUGGUGGCCUAGAAGGCCCACCAGAAGGUGCCCCACGGCCACCUAUGCCACCAUGUUGCUGGGGUGGUCCUCCGCCUUGUUGAUGCUGCUGAGUCCCCCUGCCCUGCUGAUAGUAUU
RNAcentral lists this long non-coding RNA (562 nucleotides) under Nicotiana benthamiana. RNAcentral's name for it is "long non-coding RNA (NBEN_LNC020273)". The record is from RNAcentral. Lineage: Eukaryota; Viridiplantae; Streptophyta; Magnoliopsida; Solanales; Solanaceae.